GUUCGGUCCCUAUCUGCCGUGGGCGCUGGAGAACUGAGGGGGGCUGCUCCUAGUACGAGAGGACCGGAGUGGACGCAUCACUGGUGUUCGGGUUGUCAUGCCAAUGGCACUGCCCGGUAGCUAAAUGCGGAAGAGAUAAGUGCUGAAAGCAUCUAAGCACGAAACUUGCCCCGAGAUGAGUUCUCCCUGACCCUUUAAGGGUCCUGAAGGAACGUUGAAGACGACGACGUUGAUAGGCCGGGUGUGUAAGCGCAGCGAUGCGUUGAGCUAACCGGUACUAAUGAACCGUGAGGCUUAACCUUACAACGCCGAAGCUGUU
This 319-nucleotide ribosomal RNA is filed under the name Escherichia coli. Its description in RNAcentral is "partial 23S ribosomal RNA". It matches the Rfam family "Bacterial large subunit ribosomal RNA", at positions 2629 to 2925 of the family's 2925-position model. The record is from RNAcentral. Lineage: Bacteria; Pseudomonadati; Pseudomonadota; Gammaproteobacteria; Enterobacterales; Enterobacteriaceae.